UGGGGAAUUUUGGACAAUGGGCGCAAGCCUGAUCCAGCAAUGCCGCGUGCAGGAUGAAGGCCUUCGGGUUGUAAACUGCUUUUGUACGGAACGAAACGGCGAGCUCUAAUACAGUUUGCUAAUGACGGUACCGUAAGAAUAAGCACCGGCUAACUACGUGCCAGCAGCCGCGGUAAUACGUAGGGUGCAAGCGUUGUCCGGAUUUAUUGGGCGUAAAGAGUUCGUAGGUGGUUUGUUAAGUUUGGUGUUAAAGAUUGGGGCUCAACCCUGAAACUGCACUGAAUACUGGCAGACUCGAGUGUGGUAGAGGCUAGUGGAAUUCCCAGUGUAGCGGUGAAAUGCGUAGAUAUUGGGAAGAACACCGGUGGCGUAGGCGACUAGCUGGGCCAUAACUGACACCGAGGAACGAAAGCCAGGGGAGCGAAUGGGAUUAGAUACCCCAGUAGUCCUGGCCGUAAACGAUGGAUACUAGGCGUAUCGGGUAUCGACCCCUGAUGUGCCGCAGCUAACGCGAUAAGUAUCCCGCCUGAGUAGUACGGCCGCAAGGUUG
Molecule: ribosomal RNA, 550 nt
Filed under: uncultured bacterium
Lineage: Bacteria
Description: bacterial SSU rRNA
Rfam family: Bacterial small subunit ribosomal RNA
Source: RNAcentral